Molecule: ribosomal RNA, 373 nt
Filed under: Scopulariopsis fusca
Lineage: Eukaryota; Fungi; Ascomycota; Sordariomycetes; Microascales; Microascaceae
Description: LSU rRNA
Rfam family: Eukaryotic large subunit ribosomal RNA
Source: RNAcentral
GAGUUGUUUGGGAAUGCUGCUCAAAAUGGGAGGUAAACCCCUUCUAAAGCUAAAUACCGGCCAGAGACCGAUAGCGCACAAGUAGAGUGAUCGAAAGAUGAAAAGCACUUUGAAAAGAGAGUUAAAAAGCACGUGAAAUUGUUAAAAGGGAAGCGCUUGCGACCAGACUUGCGCCCGUCGGAUCAACCGUCGCUUGCGGCGGCGCACUCCGGCGGGCUCAGGCCAGCAUCAGUUCGCUCGGGGGGAGAAAGGCGGCGGGAAUGUAGCUCCUCGGAGUGUUAUAGCCCGCCGUGUAAUACCCUCGGGUGGACUGAGGACCGCGCGUAUGCAAGGAUGCUGGCGUAAUGGUCGUCAGCAACCCGUCUUGAAACAC